UUCUUCUAUCUUCUAUAUAUAUAAAAAUGAAUUGCUGUUCGUUAGUCUCGCUAAAACUCGAGAACGGCUGGACCGAUUUGGCUAAUUUUGGUCUUGAAUUAUUUGUAGAAGUCCAGAGAAGGUUUAAAAGGUAGAUAAAUAUGAAAAUGCUCGGAAUUAAAUAAAAAUAACAAUUUUGUUAUUCAUUUGAUGUGUCCCCCGUCGCCGUCGGACGAAUUCCUUUUGUUUGUUUCAAGUUUAUUUUAUACAAAAGUUUAGGUCUUUUAUUUAUUAAUUGAGGCACUACGAAGUCUGCCCGCUCAACUAGUUAUAUAAUAAAAGAGAACUAUUGUGUGGAAGAGAGGAUAAAUAACGUGACGUAAUGGUCAUUAAUAAAUGAUACAAGAUGAAGACGAUGCGUGCAGCAAUUGGUGAUUACAUUGCGUAGUCUGUUCUAUGUAUUUAUUUUUUGUCUUGCCACGAUCGACCGGUCGAUUGCGAUCUACCGUUUGGCCACCCCUGAUCUAGACUACCGUUUGGUAGACUAAUUCGAUAUGCCUUAGACGAAGUUUUUGAGAGCUCUAUAUAUGUUUGGCACUUGAAUAAGGAUUACAGUAGAGGCUAGAUUACAUUGCCAGAGCUUCCGUAGGGCGAUCGAGGCGUCUCUGGCGACGAUGACGAUGUCUCCGCCUACUCCUCCGCCCAUGGACUCCGACCCUGAGCUGCAGGAGGCGCUGGCUCUGUCUGCGAAGGAACAAGCCACAAGAGCUCAGCAAUUGGAGGCAGAACAGCGGGCGCUCGAUGAAGUUCUACGUCUCUCGCUAAUAGACAAAUAACAAGACAACUGAAAAGAUCUCACCAUCCGUGCGUCCAAACCAAAUGAAGACUUAUUCCUACUAAGUUUUAUUGUUAUAUUACAUAAUAAUAUACGCUAAAUUAUUAGCAUAAUAGUAAAACUGUAAUAAUAUAAUAUGAUAUAAUCUAGUUUUUUAAGUAAUUUGACUUGUACGGUUGUAUGAAAAAUAGUUUCAUCAAGGGGUGCGAUUGAUCAUUUGUUUUAAGUAAUUAUAUCUUGACUAGAUAUUGAAAAUUUAAAUUCCGUGUAAAAUACAAUUUUAAGGUAAUGUUUUUACAAGAUAUAUACAUACAUAACUUUUUUUUUUGAGUUUUGAUAGGUAGGCCCAGACGUGGGCGAAGAACGAAAUUAUUUUAUUGUAAAAAAAAGCGUGGGGUGCAUGGUAUCAGUACCUAGUUAUAAAUAUUUUAUGAAUAGAAGGGCUAUUUUAAUAAUAUCCUAAAAAGCACUCCACGCUUUUUUUACAAUAAAAUCAUUUUUUCUUACACCAUUUUUAAUUCAAAUUUAUUAAAAUUUAUUUUCUAUUUUUUAGUUGGAUAUUCUAUAAAAGCGUAAUUUGUUAGUUUUUUUUAAACUAUUAUUUAUUAAUAAAUGAAAUAAGGUGUUUUGGACAAAAAACUGAAGACGAGAUAUUUUUCUUAAAACAGACUGAUAAUCCACUCCACGGUAGUUAUAUCAUAUAUAAUUGACAUCUUGUAUUUUUAUUUUACAGUAAUGGUUACUAUUUAUUAAUAUGAAUUUGUUCUACAUUUAUUACGUUAAUAAAAUUGUUAUAUUCACUC
This is a long non-coding RNA of Bombyx mori (domestic silkworm), 1617 nucleotides long. RefSeq lists it as uncharacterized. The transcript is spliced from 2 exons. The record is from RefSeq and is a predicted model, not a curated record. Lineage: Eukaryota; Metazoa; Arthropoda; Insecta; Lepidoptera; Bombycidae.